RNAcentral lists this long non-coding RNA (1056 nucleotides) under Salmo trutta (river trout). RNAcentral's name for it is "lncRNA (ENSSTUG00000041848.1)". Lineage: Eukaryota; Metazoa; Chordata; Actinopteri; Salmoniformes; Salmonidae. The record is from RNAcentral.
UCUCAACAUCGUAAAAUUCUUGGAUAUCUGCACGAACCCUUGUCUAAAUGAUGAAUCAGUGAUAUACAAAUUGGCUUAAUUAUUUAUUGACUAAUUAAAUAAUCAAACAGAAAUACAUAACACACACACACACACAGGUUGAAUUGAUUACUGACAUAAUGCAUUGAAAAGUCCCUAGUGGACUUACCCGAUAUGAUGGCUUGGUACACAGUGAACAGGGAGGGGCAUGUAAGAAAAAGCAGGAGAAGAGACAAAGUUCAACUUUUAUACAGUUGAAUAAUACGCUCAUCAUAAAUAUGGAUAUUUAGCACCCUAACAACCGCUCAUUCUGAUUUUAGAAAUGCAACGUACAUAUUAAGGAUUGUAUGUCUUUGUCAUCUCGCUCUGUUAACCUCUAUGGGCUAGGUGGGACGCUUGUUAUAUUGUGUGUGUGUGUGUGCGUGCGUGUUUACUCCCUGGAUGAGGAGAUGUAAUCUCAUGUUUUGUCCACAGAAACCAACAGGAGAGAUCAGAGUCAGAGAUUCUCAGUGGUCAGUCUUCCCAGAGUCAUCAAACAGACCUGGACUCUAUAUUCAGUAUUGCCUUACAAACUGACCAGACUGUCUGACCAGCACUGCAUCCUACUGACAGAUAUCUAACCAGCCCAGAGGCUUAUAGAGACAUUAGACUGUCUGACUGAUAUAUAUAACCAGCCCAGAGGCUUAUAGAGACAUUAGACUGUCUGACCUACGCUACCCCCUACUGUGAGAGCCACGUCAGGCAGCACUACGCCGUCCCAGGAAUGCAGACACACACCCUGGUUGAGGUCACUGCAGACAUGGGACACAAAGGCCACCAUGGCAAAGCUGGAAUGACAAAGAGAUAUCAAGAGGAAAGGGAGACUGAGGAGGAGGAGGAAAGGGGGAGCUUCUGUAAAAAGAUGAAGAUGCAAAUUAUUAAAGUGGAAGGAGAUUCUUCUGAGGAGAACUCUAAAGAACCGUUGAGGAGGAUAUAUGAGCUAGAGGGAAAUAACAGAAACAUCUAUAAAGAAUUGAAGAAGGAGAACUCAGAACUAAA